This 1334-nucleotide ribosomal RNA is filed under the name uncultured bacterium. RNAcentral's name for it is "16S ribosomal RNA". It matches the Rfam family "Bacterial small subunit ribosomal RNA", at positions 28 to 1387 of the family's 1533-position model. The record is from RNAcentral.
GAUGAACGCUGGCGGCGCGCCUAACACAUGCAAGUCGAACGGCACCUAUCUUCGGAUAGAAGCGAGUGGCGAACGGCUGAGUAACACGUGGAGAACCUGCCCCCUCCCCCGGGAUAGCCGCCCGAAAGGACGGGUAAUACCGGAUACCCCCGGGCGCCGCAUGGCGCCCGGGCUAAAGCCCCGACGGGAGGGGAUGGCUCCGCGGCCCAUCAGGUAGACGGCGGGGUGACGGCCCACCGUGCCGACAACGGGUAGCCGGCUUGAGAGACCGACCGGCCAGAUUGGGACUGAGACACGGCCCAGACUCCUACGGGAGGCAGCAGUGGGGAAUCUUGCGCAAUGGGGGGAACCCUGACGCAGCGACGCCGCGUGCGGGACGGAGGCCUUCGGGUCGUAAACCGCUUUCAGCAGGGAAGAGUCAAGACUGUACCUGCAGAAGAAGCCCCGGCUAACUACGUGCCAGCAGCCGCGGUAAUACGUAGGGGGCGAGCGUUAUCCGGAUUCAUUGGGCGUAAAGCGCGCGUAGGCGGCCCGGCAGGCCGGGGGUCGAAGCGGGGGGCUCAACCCCCCGAAGCCCCCGGAACCUCCGCGGCUUGGGUCCGGUAGGGGAGGGUGGAACACCCGGUGUAGCGGUGGAAUGCGCAGAUAUCGGGUGGAACACCGGUGGCGAAGGCGGCCCUCUGGGCCGAGACCGACGCUGAGGCGCGAAAGCUGGGGGAGCGAACAGGAUUAGAUACCCUGGUAGUCCCAGCCGUAAACGAUGGACGGUAGGUGUGGGGGGACGAUCCCCCCGCGCCGCAGCCAACGCAUUAAGCGUCCCGCCUGGGGAGUGCGGCCGCAAGGCUAAAAACUCAAAGGAAUUGACGGGGGCCCGCACAAGCAGCGGAGCAUGUGGCUUAAUUUGAAGCAACGCGAAGAACCUUACCAGGGCUUGACAUAUGGGUGAAGCGGGGGAGACCCCGUGGCCGAGAGGAGCCCAUACAGGUGGUGCAUGGCUGUCGUCAGCUCGUGUCGUGAGAUGUUGGGUUAAGUCCCGCAACGAGCGCAACCCCCGCCGCGUGUUGCCAUCGGGUGAUGCCGGGAACCCACGCGGGACCGCCGCCGUCAAGGCGGAGGAGGGGGGGGGGGACGUCAAGUCAUCAUGCCCCUUAUGCCCUGGGCUGCACACGUGCUACAAUGGCCGGUACAGAGGGAUGCCACCCCGCGAGGGGGAGCGGAUCCCGGAAAGCCGGCCCCAGUUCGGAUUGGGGGGUGCAACCCGCCCCCACGAAGUCGGAGUUGCUAGUAAUCGCGGAUCAGCAUGCCGCGGUGAAUGAAAUCCCGGGCCUUGCACA